RNAcentral lists this ribosomal RNA (57 nucleotides) under Penicillium citrinum. RNAcentral's name for it is "partial 28S ribosomal RNA". Lineage: Eukaryota; Fungi; Ascomycota; Eurotiomycetes; Eurotiales; Aspergillaceae. The record is from RNAcentral.
CCGGCGCCAGCCGACCCCCAACCUUUAAUUAUCUCAGGUUGACCUCGGAUCAGGUAG